AUACCGGCUCCGCUUGUGUAACCUGGGAGCGGCGAUUAGUGACGUGCGGGAGCGAUACCGGGGAGGAAAGCAGACGAAAAGAGUACCGCAGAACAACAGUACCGGGGAGGAAAACCGGUAACGAAAGACGUAGGAAGGAUGGUGUGAUUGAUAAUCGGCGCCUGCCGCUAUGUGGCCAGGAAGAUUGCGUCUGCGGGGCGUGGGGAAGAUGACGAGAAGAGAGCGGCUGACCGCGGGGCCGUGAAGCCGUCUUGUGUUCUUCGUCAAGGUCAUAAGAAAGAUGCCCUGGCGCGGCCUCUGACCUCUGACCUUUCCACUCCCCUGACUGCUCAACCUGCUGAAGCUCCGCCUCCUACCUCAGCCCUCGAGCCAUGCGGGUCGCAGUAACGCGGCGCUGGGUGUCGGGAGGCAGCACCGCGGGAGAAUGAACCUCCUCCCAGCAGCCUCUGGAUAGAGGUUGGGAGGAGGCGAGAUGAAAAAGAGCCCGCUGUGUCUUUAAUAAAUGUCUGAAACGUUA
Spea bombifrons (plains spadefoot toad) is the source of this 517-nucleotide long non-coding RNA. RefSeq lists it as uncharacterized. NCBI's taxonomy places the organism in Eukaryota, Metazoa, Chordata, Amphibia, Anura, Pelobatidae. The transcript has 3 exons. The record is from RefSeq and is a predicted model, not a curated record.